RNAcentral lists this long non-coding RNA (766 nucleotides) under Equus caballus (horse). RNAcentral describes it as "lncRNA (ENSECAG00000045262.1)". The record is from RNAcentral. Lineage: Eukaryota; Metazoa; Chordata; Mammalia; Perissodactyla; Equidae.
GUCUGUUCUACCUAAUUGUCCACAGAACCUCACACUCUCUCCUAGAAAUCAAUUUUUUUUUCCUACUUCCUGCAGUUAUUGGUCAGUUACUUGUCUCAAAACUCAAGCAGCAAACUAGAUUCAAAACUAAUUUUCUGUGCCCGUGUAGUCUUAACAGCCAAGUCUGAGUUGUAUAAUUUUCUUGAGACUUUUAUUGCUCAUGAUAUGAUUACCUUUUGCUUUAUAUGCCAGUUCUUCCCAUAUCCUACUUUCUAAUAUGCUUAUGGUUAGUGCAUAUUAGUGAGUAGAAGGAUGCCUGUUUGUAUCUCUGUGUGAGCAUCUGCUAUUGGAGUUUAAACAUUGGAAUAAAUAUGUGUGUUCGUAAAGAGAUUUUUUUUUUUUUCCUUUGUAGCUGUAUGGAGGAUUAUAAGGAAGAAGAGAUGCACAUCUUUUUCCGGGAAAAAGAACACUAAUUAUCCAUGUGUAACAGAUGAGGAAACUGAGACACUGAGAAAUAGAGACUUUUCCAAGUUUGACUGCUAGUAAAUUUAAGAAUGAGUACUACAGCUCAAGUCUUCUCAUGGUUUUACACCAUGGUGCCUGAGAAAUGGCAGAUGGGCUCCACAAAUGGAAGGAUGAAAGAGUGAAAGAAGAGAGGAAGCUGACUAUUUGUCAUCUGUCUUGGUCUUGGACAUCAUCUCAUCCUGAUCAUCAGGCGGUGGCUGCAUCUCCUUCAAGACACCAGCUUCCAGUCACAUGACUCUGACCCCUGAGUUCCCAUAGCAUU